RNAcentral lists this ribosomal RNA (460 nucleotides) under uncultured bacterium. RNAcentral's name for it is "partial 16S ribosomal RNA". It matches the Rfam family "Bacterial small subunit ribosomal RNA", at positions 338 to 795 of the family's 1533-position model. The record is from RNAcentral.
UCUACGGGUGGCUGCAGUGAGGAAUAUUGGUCAAUGGACGAGAGUCUGAACCAGCCAAGUAGCGUGCAGGAUGACUGCCCUACGGGUUGUAAACUUCUUUUACAUGGGAAUAACAUGUUCCACGUGUGGGAUUUUGUAUGUACCAUAUGAAUAAGGACCGGCUAAUUCCGUGCCAGCAGCCGCGGUAAUACGGAGGAUCCGAGCGUUAUCCGGAUUUAUUGGGGUUAAAGGGGGCGGAGGUGGGUUGUUAAGUCAGUUGUGAAAUUGUGCGGCUCAACCGUCAAAUUGCAGUUGAAACUGGCAGUCUGGAGCACAGUAGAGGUGGGCGGAAUUCGUGGUGUAGCGGUGAAAUGCUUAGAUAUCACGAAGAACUCCGAUUGCGAAGGCAGUUCACUGGGGUGCGACUGACACUGAGGCUCGAAAGUGUGGGUAUCAAACAGGAUUAGAUACCCUAGUAGUC